UGGGGAAUUUUGGACAAUGGGCGCAAGCCUGAUCCAGCAAUGCCGCGUGAGUGAAGAAGGCCUUCGGGUUGUAAAGCUCUUUUGUCAGGGAAGAAACGGCUUGGGCUAAUAUCCUGGGCUAAUGACGGUACCUGAAGAAUAAGCACCGGCUAACUACGUGCCAGCAGCCGCGGUAAUACGUAGGGUGCAAGCGUUAAUCGGAAUUACUGGGCGUAAAGCGUGCGCAGGCGGUUUUGUAAGUCUGACGUGAAAUCCCCGGGCUCAACCCGGGAAUUGCGUUGGAGACUGCAAGGCUGGAGUCUGGCAGAGGGGGGUAGAAUUCCACGUGUAGCAGUGAAAUGCGUAGAGAUGUGGAGGAACACCGAUGGCGAAGGCAGCCCCCUGGGUCAAGACUGACGCUCAUGCACGAAAGCGUGGGGAGCAAACAGGAUUAGAUACCCUGGUAGUCCACGCCCUAAACGAUGUCUACUAGUUGUCGGGUUUUAAUUAACUUGGUAACGCAGCUAACGCGUGAAGUAGACCGCCUGGGGAGUACGGUCGCAAGAUUAAAACUUAAAGGAAUUGACGGGGUCAUAGCUGUUUCCU
This 585-nucleotide ribosomal RNA is filed under the name uncultured bacterium. RNAcentral's name for it is "partial 16S ribosomal RNA". It matches the Rfam family "Bacterial small subunit ribosomal RNA", at positions 355 to 1375 of the family's 1533-position model. The record is from RNAcentral.